UGUAGGUUAUUUUAAAAAAGAUAUAGGAUACCUCUUUUACCAUCCUACUGAACAAAAGGUCUUUGUUAGUAAACAUACCACUUUUAUGAAAAAAGAGUUUAUCUUAGAAAGAGGUAGUGAGAAGAAAAUUGAACUUGAAGAAGUUUAAAAUCUACAAAUAUAAGCACAAGAUGAUCCUCAACCAAAAAUACCCAUUAAUGAAGUAUAACCACAAAAUAUACCUCCUCUCUGA
This 232-nucleotide long non-coding RNA is filed under the name Elaeis guineensis (African oil palm). RNAcentral's name for it is "long non-coding RNA (EGUI_LNC061651)". The record is from RNAcentral. Lineage: Eukaryota; Viridiplantae; Streptophyta; Magnoliopsida; Arecales; Arecaceae.